GGUAACAGCUCAGAGGUAGAGUGCAUGCUUAGCAUGCAUGAGGUCCUAGGUUCAAUCCCCAGGGUCUCCA
RNAcentral lists this transfer RNA (70 nucleotides) under Camelus dromedarius (Arabian camel). It matches the Rfam family "tRNA". From Rfam's summary of the family: Transfer RNA (tRNA) molecules are approximately 80 nucleotides in length. Their secondary structure includes four short double-helical elements and three loops (D, anti-codon, and T loops). Further hydrogen bonds mediate the characteristic L-shaped molecular structure. tRNAs have two regions of fundamental functional importance: the anti-codon, which is responsible for specific mRNA codon recognition, and the 3' end, to which the tRNAs corresponding amino acid is attached (by aminoacyl-tRNA synthetases). tRNAs cope with the degeneracy of the genetic code in two manners: having more than one tRNA (with a specific anti-codon) for a particular amino acid; and 'wobble' base-pairing, i.e. permitting non-standard base-pairing at the 3rd anti-codon position. RNAcentral also lists the same sequence under 1 other name. The record is from Rfam by way of RNAcentral. Lineage: Eukaryota; Metazoa; Chordata; Mammalia; Artiodactyla; Camelidae.